This is an RNA transcript of Octopus bimaculoides (California two-spot octopus), 2052 nucleotides long. RefSeq lists it as uncharacterized. NCBI's taxonomy places the organism in Eukaryota, Metazoa, Mollusca, Cephalopoda, Octopoda, Octopodidae. The record is from RefSeq and is a predicted model, not a curated record.
GUACAGAAGACUUGUGCUGAAAGAAGUCAAGUAUAAGUUAUACAUAUGUACGAUGUGUAGAUAUGAUAUGUGUAUUAAUCUAACUUUUUUGUUUUACUGGAAAAUCUACAACUCAGAGAAUUGUCUGUUUCCAAAGCUGCCGGAUAAGUGAUGUUUCGUUUCUUCUUUUCCCUUUAGCUGCGUUCAAAUCUUCAACAAGAAUUGCGUGAAAGACAGAGAAAUAGGAAAUCCUUGGACCAUCUGCCACAUUUAGAAGAUCUACAAACUCUACCGACUGCUCCUGAUGAGAUUCUGGAAACUUUUACAAACACUAUAUCAGAAAACUCAGGAACUCUGGCUCUGGAUAUUAUUCACGCGUUCUUUGUCCCAGAGAAAUUUAAUUCAUCGUGAUUUCACAUUAUUCGGGACAUCUGCAAAAUCGAUGUCUCUGCUAUCUAUACUAUAAUGGAGAAAGCUGCUUAUUAAUUAGAGCCAACACAGUUUCUCUGACAAUCAUUAAAAUACUCGACAUAUCACGGAAGUCUACUAAGUUCCAACUGAGACUGAUCGAAAUAUUUUGCAGGGAAAGCCAUUCAAAAGCAAGAAAAAAAAUCAAUAAAUUAAGCAGGCAAGCUAUCUUGACAGAAGUUUAAUGAAUGUUGACAGCAGUCCUGAAGAAAGAGGUUGACGAAGAGGACAUUAUCGCUAUUUCAAAAUUAUAAAUUUGCUAAAUGCAGCAUACAGAUUGAUGAACCAAUAAUUCAUCGCCUAACAAAAAGGAAUCUACUUGCAUAGAAAAUCAAUUGUAAAUAUUUCAAGAUGCUAAAACGGUGAAGUGGCAGAAUCUUAGCGGCAUUCCGUCCGUCUUUAUGCUUACUUUCGGAGUCGAUAAAAUAAGUACCAGUUCAGUACGAGGGUCGAUGUAGUACACUUACUUCAUCCCCCGAAAUUGUUGGCCUUGUGCCAAAAAUUUGAACCCAAUACUUUAGGAUGCUAUGGUGGCGAGCUGGCAAAACAGGGUGUCUGAAAUCACUUUUGCGUUCUUGAGGAGAGUAUUCGGAACUAUUAUGAUAUUCAAGUAUGAAUUAGAAGCAGCACUAGUUUAAUAAACAUUGUUGACCACAUAUACUUAACGUAUAUGUUUGUGUAUUUGCUUUUAGGCCUGUCCAUUACUCACAUUCGUUUUAACACCUGGUGCUCUGAGAGAGUAAUCUCCGCCACGCCAAAUCUUAUCCUAUCGGCAAAUACACAAACCAUACACGUUAAAUAUAUGUUCUCGCUAAUGGUUACUAUGACAUUAUUUAUUUCAGUAUAUUUUUAAAACUAGUCUUAAAAGGCUAUUUAAUGGUAGAGGCGCAUUUUUAUUUUGAUCAGCCAACCAAAUACAAAAUAAUCGAAUUCAGGAAAACUACGGAAAGUUUUAACAUAUAUAACAAAAACAUUUGACUAUUCUUUAUCUGUACAUAUUUCUUUGCAGUUUCUUUUUGCCUAGGCGGGUUUAUAUACUUUCUUCAGUUUGUCAUGGCUUACCAGCUUUACAUGGACACAUGAAUUGAUGGCGGCGGCGACGGCGACGGUGACGGCGGCAGCAGUGGCGGCAGCGGUGGCGGCAGCGGUGGCGGCAGCGGUGGCGGCAGCGGUGGCGGCAGCGGUGGCGGCAGCGGUGGCGGCAGCGGUGGCGGUAGUGAAGAUGAUGAUGAUGAUGAUGAUGAUGAUGAUGAUGAUGAUUAUGAUGAUGAUGAUGAUGAUGACGACGAUGAUGACGACGACGACGACGAUGAAGUAUAUGAUGAUGAUAAUAGUAAAUAUUGGAUGAAAACUUAGGAAGGUGAUUUCCAAAGUUACUUGAAGCACCUUGGAAUUAUUCAUCUCGACAAGUAUCUAUUUCGUCCAACAAGGUAUGAGACUGCUGCUAUGCUGAGAUUUAUUUGUAAGUCUGAUUACGUAUUAUGUCGGUUUCUUAUAACGAACUGCAAACAUAUAAGGACAUACACGUAAUUUUGUCAGUGAACAGGUCGCGGUCUCAAAGCGACGAAAAUAUUUUGGCAAAUUAAAUUUAAAUGUUGAAGUGAA